CGGCGGACGGGUGCGUAACGCGUAUGCAACCUACCUUUAACAGGGGGAUAACACUGAGAAAUUGGUACUAAUACCCCAUAAUAUCAUAGAAGGCAUCUUUUAUGGUUGAAAAUUCCGAUGGUUAGAGAUGGGCAUGCGUUGUAUUAGCUAGUUGGUGGGGUAACGGCUCACCAAGGCGACGAUACAUAGGGGGACUGAGAGGUUAACCCCCCACACUGGUACUGAGACACGGACCAG
This 237-nucleotide ribosomal RNA is filed under the name uncultured bacterium. Its description in RNAcentral is "partial 16S ribosomal RNA". It matches the Rfam family "Bacterial small subunit ribosomal RNA", at positions 96 to 334 of the family's 1533-position model. The record is from RNAcentral.